UACAGAGGGUGCGAGCGUUAAUCGGAAUUACUGGGCGUAAAGCGUGCGUAGACGGUUAUUUAAGUCGGGUGUGAAAGCCCCGGGCUCAACCUGGGAAUUGCAUUCGAGACUGAAUAGCUAGGGUACGGUAGAGGGAAGCGGAAUUUCCGGUGUAGCGGUGAAAUGCGUAGAUAUCGGAAGGAACAUCAGUGGCGAAAGCGACUUCCUGGACUAGUACCGACGUUCAGGCACGAAAGCGUGGGGAGCAAACAGG
This 253-nucleotide ribosomal RNA is filed under the name uncultured bacterium. Its description in RNAcentral is "partial 16S ribosomal RNA". It matches the Rfam family "Bacterial small subunit ribosomal RNA", at positions 524 to 776 of the family's 1533-position model. The record is from RNAcentral.